This 477-nucleotide ribosomal RNA is filed under the name uncultured bacterium. RNAcentral's name for it is "bacterial SSU rRNA". It matches the Rfam family "Bacterial small subunit ribosomal RNA", at positions 28 to 520 of the family's 1533-position model. The record is from RNAcentral.
GACGAACGCUGGCGGCGUGCUUAACACAUGCAAGUCGAACGGUGACGAGGAGCUUGCUCCUCUGAUCAGUGGCGAACGGGUGAGUAACACGUGAGCAACCUGCCCCAGACUCUGGGAUAACAGUUGGAAACAGCUGCUAAUACCGGAUACGAGACGGAGAGGCAUCUCUACCGUCUGGAAAGUUUUUCGGCUGGGAUGGACUCGCGGCCUAUCAGCUAGUUGGUGAGGUAAUGGCUCACCAAGGCGACGACGGGUAGCCGGCCUGAGAGGGCGACCGGCCACACUGGGACUGAGACACGGCCCAGACUCCUACGGGAGGCAGCAGUGGGGAAUAUUGCACAAUGGGCGAAAGCCUGAUGCAGCGACGCCGCGUGAGGGAUGACGGCCUUCGGUUGUAAACGUCUUCUAGCAGGAGAAGCGAAAGUAGACGGUACCUGCAGAAGAAGACACCGGCUAACUACGUGCCAGCAGCCGCGG